Solanum stenotomum is the source of this 1220-nucleotide long non-coding RNA. RefSeq lists it as uncharacterized. NCBI's taxonomy places the organism in Eukaryota, Viridiplantae, Streptophyta, Magnoliopsida, Solanales, Solanaceae. The record is from RefSeq and is a predicted model, not a curated record. The transcript has 4 exons.
GAUGUGUAAAUUUAUGUGCGUGCACACAUGUGUGCUUGUGUAAAUUUAUGCAUUUAAGUUAAGCCAUUGACAUAUGGAUAUGGAGCCAACUUAAUUUCCUAUGAUUCACGUGAACUGAAAAUUGCAAUUUGUUAAUCAAGUAUUGAUGAUGGUUACUAAAUGACAGGUACAUUUGUCCAGAUUAUGUAAAUCCUUCUGAAUGACAGUACAUACACUAGUCUAACUGGCAGUGGUAGAAAAUUGCAGCACAAUGCAAUAUACAACUGAUCAAACCAAGUGAUACCGAGAGGCCAUUUUUAUGGACAACAACAAGAAGCCUUUCAUGUUUACCAUAUAGGACGAUCUAACAGACAAUGAAGGGGUUGUACUACUACAACUGUUGCACGAGCACAUUGUUAUUCUUGCAAAACGAGUAGUUGUUACAGUAUACCAUCGCAGGCAAAAGACAACGAACAAAUGCUCUUCGCUUAUACUUUGAGAAGCUCAUCUGAAUCAUCUUCAUCCCUCAAUCUUGCAUCUGUUGACAAUGAAACAAUAUCUAUCUCGGUCAUUCCUUCAUUGUUGUGUAGAAUGAGUUUAAAAUAUGACUUUCACUUUCUUUGUCAAUACUGACCAACUGCUCCAUAGUGAGAUUUCUCCACUAAAAAAAAUGCUAAUAUCUCUUUUGAGUUGUGAUCUGACAACAAUAGACAUGGAAACAUUGGCUGAAAAAAUAUUAGCAAUGAGAGCUGAACAAGUGUAUGAGACAGUCAUUGUCCAGGUACUUCGUAUUAUCUCUUUCGAGUUGUGAUAUGCAUAAGUGUUUGUUCUCUACUGACAAAUGAAUCUGCCUUUUUCUUUGCUGAUUGUAACCUCUGUGAGCUUCAUUUUUCUUAAAGUUUUGAUAGAAUGAAAUUUUGCAUUUUAAUGUGGAUCAGUAGCCUAUAUGUUGUCUUGGGAAGGUACUGCCUUCAAGAUGAAUUAGCUUUGCAAGUGAUUCUUUGUUUCUUUUAGAUGUCUCUUGUCUUUAAAAUGUUGAAAUUUAUAAAGAGUUGUCUUCUAGCAGUCCAUUUAUGCCUAAGGGAAAUUACACCAGCAUUCCAUUUUGUUACUCGCUGUUUUUCAUAACAGUACCACUACAUUGGGAAGGGACUGGGAAGGUAUUGUUAAAAGUGACUAGUAUUGAGCAUAUUAAAUACAUGAUUUAUUUCACUAACUUAUUUUUAUUUUGAAUGUGAAGG